RNAcentral lists this ribosomal RNA (274 nucleotides) under uncultured bacterium. RNAcentral's name for it is "partial 16S ribosomal RNA". It matches the Rfam family "Bacterial small subunit ribosomal RNA", at positions 523 to 796 of the family's 1533-position model. The record is from RNAcentral.
AUACGGAGGGCGCAAGCGUUGUUCGGAAUCAUUGGGCGUAAAGCGCGUGUAGGCGGCUUGGCAAGUCGGGUGUGAAAGCCCGGGGCUCAACCCCGGAACUGCAUUCGAAACUGCCUGGCUAGAGUCCCGGAGAGGAAGGCAGAAUUCCCGGUGUAGAGGUGAAAUUCGUAGAUAUCGGGAGGAAUACCAGUGGCGAAGGCGGCCUUCUGGACGGCGACUGACGCUGAGACGCGAAAGCGUGGGGAGCAAACAGGAUUAGAAACCCCAGUAGUCC